This 504-nucleotide ribosomal RNA is filed under the name uncultured bacterium. RNAcentral describes it as "partial 16S ribosomal RNA". It matches the Rfam family "Bacterial small subunit ribosomal RNA", at positions 899 to 1397 of the family's 1533-position model. The record is from RNAcentral.
ACUCAAAUGAAUAGACGGGGGCUCACACAAGCGGUGGAGGAUGUGGCUUAAUUCGAGGCUACGCGAAGAACCUUAUCCUAGUCUUGACAUGCACGGAUCAACCCGGUGAAAGCCGGGCCACGCCUUCGGGUGGAACGUGCACAGGUGCUGCAUGGCUGUCGUCAGCUCGUGUCGUGAGAUGUCGGGUUAAGUCCCUUAACGAGCGAAACCCUUGUCGCUAGUUGCCAGCGAGUUAUGUCGGGGACUCUAGCGAGACCGCCGGCGUUAAGCCGGAGGAAGGUGGGGAUGACGUCAAGUCCUCAUGGCCUUUAUGACUAGGGCUGCACACGUCCUACAAUGCUGCGCACAAUGGGAAGCAAACCCGCGAGGGCAAGCAAAUCCCUAAAAACGCAGCUCAGUUCGGAUUGCAGGCUGCAACUCGCCUGCAUGAAGCUGGAAUCGCUAGUAAUGGUGGGUCAGCACACCACCGUGAAUAUGUUCUUGAGCCUUGUACACACCGCCCGU